Molecule: small nuclear RNA, 194 nt
Organism: Sorex fumeus (smoky shrew)
Lineage: Eukaryota; Metazoa; Chordata; Mammalia; Eulipotyphla; Soricidae
Product: U2 spliceosomal RNA
Exons: 1
Source: RefSeq, a predicted model, not a curated record
AUCACUUUCAGGUCUUUUGGCUAAGAUCAAGUGCAGUAUCUGUCCUUAUCAGUUUAAUAUCUGAUAGAUACUCUAUCUGAGGACAAUAUAUUAAAUGGAUUUUUGGAACGAAGAGUUGGAAUAGAAGCUCGCUCCAUCCACUGCACACAUUGACCUGGUGGUAUUGCAGUGCCUUCAGGAAUGGUGCACAAGAA